ACACCAUCCUUGCUUCUUAAUUUACCAUUGUGAAGUUUACUUUAUUAACUCUCAGUAUUGUAAUCUGCUUUUGUGUAAUUUUAACGCCAUAAUUACUGAAACUACUGCAAGUUGGUUUUACAAUGGAUAAUAACACUCUUGAUUUGGCCUUGCAAGCCGUUGAACUAGAAGUCUCUGGACCUUCUCUUGAUGCUGUUCAUAAACCUUUUGACCCGGAAGAAUAUGGUUUAGAUCCUUCAUUCCGGUUGACCAAAUUUGCCGAAUUGAGAGGCUGAGGUUGCAAGGUUCCUCAGGAAACUCUGGAUAAACUUCUUGAGGGACUCAAUGACAAUUCAACUCAUCAUACUUCAUCUUCAUCUUCUUCUUUAUCACCCACUUCUACUCUAAAACAAACAAAACUUCCAAAAAUUGGUAUUGGUAUGGACAGUAGUGUAACACCAAUCAGACAUGGAAGUCUUCUGAUGGUUCAAACAGUUGAUUUCUUCUAUCCACUGAUAGAUGAUCCUUAUGUAAUGGGCAAAAUUGCUUGUGCCAACGUCCUCAGUGAUUUGUACGCUGAAGGUAUCUACGAAUGUGACAAUAUGCUCAUGAUUUUAGGAAUAAGUACUAAAAUGAGCGAAAAGGAACGAGAUACGGUUAUUCCUAUUAUGAUUAAAGGAUUUAGGGAUUGUGCAUAUGAGGCUGAUACUCGAGUGACUGGAGGUCAAACUGUUCAAAAUCCUUGGGUAACUGUUGGUGGAGUUGCUUCAACUGUUUGCAAACCAAAUGAGCUAAUAAUCCCCGAUAGUGCCGUUGCUGGCGAUGUCCUUGUGUUAACUAAGCCAUUAGGGACACAAGCUGCUGUUCAUUCAUAUCAAUGGUUGGAAUCUUAUCCUGAACGAUGGGAUAGAAUUAAGCUCGUUGUUUCGGACGAAGACGUAAGAAAAGCAUAUCUUCGAGCAAUGGACAGCAUGAGUAGAUUGAAUAGAGUUGGUGCACGUCUUAUGCAUAAAUAUAAUGCUCAUGGUGCUACCGAUGUAACAGGAUUCGGCAUUCUUGGUCAUGCUCAAAAUUUAGCGAAAAAUCAAAAAAAUGAAGUUUCCUUUGUUAUUCACAAUCUACCCAUCAUUGCUAAAAUGGCUGCAGUUGGUAGAGCUUGUAGCAGUAUGUUCCAAUUAUUACAAGGAUACUCUCCUGAAACCUCUGGUGGGUUGUUAAUUUGUUUACCACGAGAACAAGCGGCUGCUUUUUGUAAAGAUAUUGAAAAACAAGAAGGAUAUUCAGCUUGGAUUAUUGGCAUUGUAGAAAAAGGAAAUAGAACUGCUCGAAUAAUUGACAAACCUAGAGUUAUUGAAGUGCCUAGUAAAGAAAAAGAUGGUGAACUAUGGUAAAACAAAAAAAUGAAAAAAUUCAACAGAAACAUAUAUUCUGAUUACUAACGAAUUAAUUGUAUCUUUCAACUAAUAUUUUUCUUCAAUUUCUUUUUUUCUAAAUUUC
Molecule: non-coding RNA, 1476 nt
Organism: Tetranychus urticae (two-spotted spider mite)
Lineage: Eukaryota; Metazoa; Arthropoda; Arachnida; Trombidiformes; Tetranychidae
Source: RefSeq, a predicted model, not a curated record